UGCAGACCAAAGAGCUGGAGAAAGGCUGUGAGCAGCGUGGAGAUGCGGAUCCAUCUCCCCUGAUGCAAGAAGUGUAACCUGCCCGCUGAGAGUCUCACCUGGAGAGGAAUUUGCCAGUCAUGGGAUGGGGCCAUCUUGGAAGUGGAUCCUUCAGCCUUAGUCCAGCUGACAUCUAGUGGAGCAGAGAUGAAUUGUCCCCACCGGGCUCUGGCCAAAUGACAGAUUGGAGCUGACUGGCCGAUAAAAUGUGGAAGAAGUGAUGUCUAGCUUACGCUGAUACUUAACAGGCCUUAGGAGCAUCUAGUUCCAUCUUGGUAUCCUGCCUGCGGGAAGAUAAGAGACUUCUGCGCAGCUGCUCUUUGCCCCAGUCAACAGGCCAGUAACCACCCUGCCUCUAGAAAUGUGAAACCUUCCUGGACCAGUCCACCUCCCAGUGACCAACUGCAGAUGCGUGAGCAAGCUAGUUAGGACCCUCCAAGCCUGGCGCAGCGCGCAGCAUCUUGGGUGUUUCUCUUACCUGAGUCACCGUGGCCCCAACCACGAGUGGAGUAGAGGAGAGGAAGCACACCCCCCAGCAGGCCUUCGUCACAGACUGAGAACUUCAGUGCUAAACUCCAACCAUGGUGUGCGUCUGCUGGGGAGUGACGCGAGGGUACGUGGAAGGGUAAAUGAUGAGAUAAGGAAAAGAAGAUUUUGGGAUGCCAAACUGAAGUAAUAACUUUAAAUAACUAUUAGUACAGGAAUGCAUUUGAAAACAGGAUAUACAGACAAUGAAAUGCAAUAUAGCACUGAAAAUAGUAAACAAAAACGACAUGUAUGAGAGAAAAUCUCACAGACACAGUAUCGAGUGAAAAAUCAACUUGGGUAGCACAGUGAAGCAUUUUUCUGUCAGGCAUCUAAUUUUUUUUUUUUUAAGCCUGUGGUCCUAUAAUUGGACAUUGAUAAGCUGCAUGGGAAA
Non-coding RNA from Odocoileus virginianus texanus, 958 nucleotides. NCBI's taxonomy places the organism in Eukaryota, Metazoa, Chordata, Mammalia, Artiodactyla, Cervidae. The record is from RefSeq and is a predicted model, not a curated record.